RNAcentral lists this ribosomal RNA (914 nucleotides) under uncultured marine archaeon. RNAcentral's name for it is "bacterial SSU rRNA". It matches the Rfam family "Archaeal small subunit ribosomal RNA", at positions 1 to 921 of the family's 1478-position model. The record is from RNAcentral.
UUCCGGUUGAUCCCGCCGGAGGCUACCGCUAUUGGAGUUCGAUUAAGCCAUGCGAGUCGAGAGUCUUAGGGACUCGGCGCACCGCUCAGUAACACGUGGGUAACCUGCCCUAUGCUGGGGGAUAACCUCGGGAAACUGAGAAUAAUACCCCAUAGUUCACCACGCCUGGAACGGUGGGUGGACCAAAGCUCCGGCGGCAUAGGAUGGGCCUGCGACGUAUCAGGUUGUAGGGGGUGUAACGUACCCUCUAGCCAUCAACGCGUACGGGUGUUGGGAGACAUAGCCCGGAGAUGGAUUCUGAGACACGAAUCCAGACCCUACGGGGUGCAGCAGGCGCGAAAACUUGGCAAUGCGAGCAAUCGUGACCAGGGAACUCCAAGUGGCUGGGGUAAUACCCAGUUUUUUCUUGACUCUUCAAAGGUCUUGGAAUAAGGGGUGGGUAAGGACGGUGCCAGCCGCCGCGGUAAUACCGGCGCCUCAAGUGGUAGUCGCUUUUAUUGGGCCUAAAACGUCCGUAGCCGGUCUGGUACAUUCGUGGGUAAAUCAACCCGCUCAACGGGUUGAAUUCUGCGAGCACGGCCAGACUUGGGACCGGGAGAGGUGUGGGGUACUCUCAGGGUAGGGGUAAAAUCCUGUCAUCCUGAGAGGACCACCUGUUGCGAAGGCGCCACACUAGAACGGAUUCGACGGUCAGGGACGAAACCUAGGGGCACGAACCGGAUUAGAUACCCGGGUAGUCCUAGGUGUAAACGCUGUGGACUUGAUGUUGGGGGCGCUCCGAGCGCUUUCAGUGUCGAAGCGAAGGUGAUAAGUCCACUGCCUGGGGAGUACGGUCGCAAGGCUGAAACUUAAAGGAAUUGGCGGGGGAGCACUGCAACCUGAGGAUUGUGCGGUUUAAUUGGAUUCAACGCCGG